CGCACGGGUGCGUAACGCGUGGAAUCUGCCUUAGGUUCGAAUAACUUCGGGAAACUGAAGCUAAUACCGGAUGAUGACGUAAGUCCAAAGAUUUAUCGCCUAAGGAUGAGCCCGCGUAGGAUUAGCUAGUUGGUGAGGUAAAAGGCUCACCAAGGCGACGAUCCUUAGCUGGUCUGAGAGGAUGAUCAGCCACACUGGGACUGAGACACGGCCCAGACUCCUACGGGAGGCAGCAGUGGGGAAUAUUGGACAAUGGGCGAAAGCCUGAUCCAGCAAUGCCGCGUGAGUGAUGAAGGCCUUAGGGUUGUAAAGCUCUUUUACCCGGGAUGAUAAUGACAGUACCGGGAGAAUAAGCUCCGGCUAACUCCGUG
RNAcentral lists this ribosomal RNA (371 nucleotides) under uncultured bacterium. Its description in RNAcentral is "bacterial SSU rRNA". It matches the Rfam family "Bacterial small subunit ribosomal RNA", at positions 99 to 507 of the family's 1533-position model. The record is from RNAcentral.